AGCAGCCGCGGUAAUUCCAGCUCCAAUAGCGUAUAUUAAAGUUGUUGCAGUUAAAAAGCUCGUAGUUGAAUUUCGGGGUUAGCAGGUCGGUCGUGCCAUCGGUAUGAACUGGUCUCGCUGAUCCCUCCCUCUUGACGAACUGUGAUGCCAUUAAUUUGGUGUCGCAGGGAAUCAGGACUGUUACUUUGAAAAAUUAGAGUGUUUAAAGCAGGCUCACGCUUGAAUACAUUAGCAUGGAAUAAUGAAAUAGGACGUUUGAUCCUAUUUUGUUGGCUUCUAGGAUUGACGUAAUGAUUAAUAGGGAUAGUUGGGGGCAUUAGUAUUCAAUUGUCAGAGGUGAAAUUCUUGGAUUUAUUGAAGACUAACUACUGCGAAAGCAUUUGCCAAGGAUGUUUUCAUUAAUCAAGAACGAAAGUUAGGGGAUCGAAGACGAUCAGAUACCGUCGUAGUC
This 451-nucleotide ribosomal RNA is filed under the name uncultured Glomus. RNAcentral describes it as "SSU rRNA". It matches the Rfam family "Eukaryotic small subunit ribosomal RNA", at positions 569 to 1025 of the family's 1831-position model. The record is from RNAcentral. Lineage: Eukaryota; Fungi; Glomeromycota; Glomeromycetes; Glomerales; Glomeraceae.